CCUACGGGUGGCAGCAGUCGAGAAUCAUUCACAAUGGGGGAAACCCUGAUGGUGCGACGCCGCGUGGGGGAAUGAAGGUCUUCGGUUUGUAAACCCCUGUCAUGUGGGAGCAAAUUAAAAAGAUAGUACCACAAGAGGAAGAGCCGGCUAACUCUGUGCCAGCAGCCGCGGUAAUACAGAGGUCUCAAGCGUUGUUCGGAAUCACUGGGCUUAAAGCGUGCGUAGGCUGUUUCGUAGGUCUUGUGUGCAAGGUGCGGGCUGAACCGGCGUACGGCACAUGAUACUGCGAGACUAGAGUAAAGGAGGGGGAACCGGAAUUCGCGGUGUAGCAGUGAAAUGCGGAGAUA
RNAcentral lists this ribosomal RNA (347 nucleotides) under uncultured bacterium. RNAcentral describes it as "partial 16S ribosomal RNA". It matches the Rfam family "Bacterial small subunit ribosomal RNA", at positions 338 to 696 of the family's 1533-position model. The record is from RNAcentral.